Long non-coding RNA from Daucus carota subsp. sativus, 973 nucleotides. RefSeq lists it as uncharacterized. The record is from RefSeq and is a predicted model, not a curated record. NCBI's taxonomy places the organism in Eukaryota, Viridiplantae, Streptophyta, Magnoliopsida, Apiales, Apiaceae. The transcript has 3 exons.
UAUCUAGACGACAUGUAAAAAACUGCUGGACGAGACAUCCUCAAAUUUCUCGCUCAAUCAUCUAGCUAGCUACUCAAAUCAUCGAUUCCUAAGGUAACCCGCUGUUAUCCUAUACAAUAUUCGCGGGAUUUCUAGAUAUAUUGGCGCCUAAUCUUAUCAAGAAUAAACCGAGCCGUGCAAAAGGGCGCUUCUGAUUAUUAGGUUUUAAUUAGCUUCAUCCCAGUCUUCUGUCAAAAUUCUAUCAGGUACCAGAUCACGUGUCCCUGCAAAUCAUAGCCUCCGCCAGCCAUUCAUCCCCGACAUAGAAAAUAGUAGUCAAAUCUCAGAUCAAACUGUUGAAACCCAAACAAAGAGAAAAGUACUUUGGAGGGGUGAUAUAUUAACUAAAACAUAUUUGGAAGCAUGCAUUGAAGAAGUUACAGCUAGUGGUAGGUUGGGCAACAGCCUAAAACCACAUUCGUGGUUAAAAGUGGGAGACAUACUUAGGAAAACCCACCAUUUUGAGGUUGAUGCUAGACAAAUGAGAAGCCGGUGUGAUUACUUAAAAUCUCGUUAUUUUGCUUGGUGUCAACUCAAAUCUAAGACCAAAAAUCAUUAUGAUCCGGCAACUAAUUCCUUUGACUUCACAGACGAAGAAUGGGAACAACAUGCGAAGGGAAAUAAGAUCAUAGACACUUUAAAAACCACACCUUUGAGUUAUCCUGACCUUUGCACCCAUCUGUAUGAUGGAACUGCUGCCGCAGGAUUAAGUGGAUGGGGACCUAGCUCGAAAAGAAGCAGGGCUAUUGAUCUUAAUGACGACAUAGAUAAUCUUGGUACCGAAGAAGUUCAGUCUAAUACUGCAAAUCCAAAUGCCGAAUAAAUUCCAAAAAAAAAAAAAGCUUGAACAACAUCAAAAACUCUAAGAAGCACAUCAUUUGAAGAUGAGAUGAACAGUGCACUAAAACUAAUUGUUUAGACCAAUAUUGGACCA